GACGAACGCUGGCGGCGUGCUUAACACAUGCAAGUCGAACGGAAAGGCCCUGCUUUUGUUGCUUGCUCGAGUGGCGAACGGGUGAGUAACACGUGAGUAACCUGCACUUGACUUUGGGGUAACUUCAGGAAACUCGGGCUCAUACCGCAUAUGAUCUCCUGCUCCAUGGUGGGGGUUGGAAAGUUUCGGCGGUUGGGGAUGGACUCGCUGCUUAUCCGCUGGUUGGUGGGGUAGUGGCUUACCAAGGCUUUGACGGGUAGCCGGCCUGAGAGGGUGACCGGCCACAUUGGGACUGAGAUACGGCCCAGACUCCAACGGGAGGCAGCAGUGGGGAAUAUUGCACAAUAAGCGGAAGCCUGAUGCAGCAACGCCGCGUGCGGGAUGACGGCCUUCGGGUUGUAAACAGCUUUCGCCUGUGACGAAGCGUGAGUGACGGUAAUGGGUAAAGAAGCACCGGCUAACUACGUG
Molecule: ribosomal RNA, 468 nt
Filed under: uncultured bacterium
Lineage: Bacteria
Description: partial 16S ribosomal RNA
Rfam family: Bacterial small subunit ribosomal RNA
Source: RNAcentral